GUGUCAGCAGCCGCGGUAAUACGUACGAGGCGAGCGUUAUCCGGAAUUAUUGGGCGUAAAGCGCGCGCAGGCGGAUAUUUAAGUCGGUCGUGAAAUCUCCCGGCCCAACUGGGAGGGGUCGUCCGAGACUGGGUGUCUUGAGGACAGCAGAGGUUGGUGGAAUUCCUGGUGUAGUGGUGAAAUGCGUAGAGAUCAGGAGGAACACCGGUGGCGAAGGCGGCCAACUGGGCUGUCACUGACGCUGAGGCGCGAAAGCUCGGGGAGCGAACGGGAUUAGAUACCCCGGUAGUCC
RNAcentral lists this ribosomal RNA (292 nucleotides) under uncultured bacterium. RNAcentral's name for it is "partial 16S ribosomal RNA". It matches the Rfam family "Bacterial small subunit ribosomal RNA", at positions 505 to 796 of the family's 1533-position model. The record is from RNAcentral.